UAAAGUGGCGAACGGCUGAGUAACACGUGGGCAACCUGCCCUUUGCACUGGGAUAGCCUCGGGAAACCGAGGUUAAUACCGGAUACUCCAUAUUUGUCGCAUGGCGAAUAUGGGAAAGCUCCGGCGGCAAAGGAUGGGCCCGCGGCCUGUUAGCUAGUUGGUGGGGUAGUGGCCUACCAAGGCAAUGAUGGGUAGCCGGGUUGAGAGACCGACCGCCAGAUUGGGACUGAGACACGGCCCAGACUCCUACGGGAGGCAGCAGCC
RNAcentral lists this ribosomal RNA (264 nucleotides) under uncultured Atopobium sp. RNAcentral's name for it is "partial 16S ribosomal RNA". It matches the Rfam family "Bacterial small subunit ribosomal RNA", at positions 91 to 355 of the family's 1533-position model. The record is from RNAcentral. Lineage: Bacteria; Bacillati; Actinomycetota; Coriobacteriia; Coriobacteriales; Atopobiaceae.